UACGUAGGGGGCGAGCGUUGUCCGGAUUUAUUGGGCGUAAAGAGCUCGUAGGCGGUUUGGUAAGUUGGAUGUGAAAUCUCCAGGCUCAACUUGGAGGGGUCAUUCGAUACUGCCAUGACUAGAGUUCGGUAGGGGAGAACGGAAUUCCUGGUGUAGCGGUGAAAUGCGCAGAUAUCAGGAGGAACACCGGUGGCGAAGGCGGUUCUCUGGGCCUGUACUGACGCUGAGGAACGAAAGCGUGGGGAGCGAACAGG
Molecule: ribosomal RNA, 254 nt
Filed under: uncultured bacterium
Lineage: Bacteria
Description: partial 16S ribosomal RNA
Rfam family: Bacterial small subunit ribosomal RNA
Source: RNAcentral